RNAcentral lists this ribosomal RNA (254 nucleotides) under uncultured bacterium. RNAcentral describes it as "partial 16S ribosomal RNA". It matches the Rfam family "Bacterial small subunit ribosomal RNA", at positions 524 to 776 of the family's 1533-position model. The record is from RNAcentral.
GACGAACCGUGCGAACGUUAUUCGGAAUCACUGGGCUUAAAGCGCGUGUAGGCGGGACGGCACGUCUGUCGCUGAAAUCCCCCGGCUUAACCGGAGAACUGGCGUAGAUACGACCGUCCUUGAGGGGCGUAGGGGGACCUGGAACUUCCGGUGGAGCGGUGAAAUGCGUUGAGAUCGGAAGGAACGCCCGCGGCGAAAGCGAGGUCCUGGACGCCUACUGACGCUGAGACGCGAAAGCCAGGGGAGCGAACGGG